CCGAAUGACCAAGGGUUCCUGGGCCAGGUUAAUCCGCCCAGGGUGAGUCGGGACCUAAGGCGAGGCCGACAGGCGUAGUCGAUGGACAACGGGUUGAUAUUCCCGUACCCGUGUGAACGCGCCCCUGGUGAAUCAGUGAUGCUAAGCGCCCUGAAGCCGCCUUCGAACCUUCGGGUUCUCCGGUGUGUGGAUGCGCGUGAACCGAUCUGGUAGUAGCCAAGCGAUGGGGUGACGCAGGAAGGUAGCUGAGCCAGUCAGUGGUAAUACUGGUGUAAGCGUGUAGGGCGUGACCUAGGCAAAUCCGGGUCACAUWCAGCCUGAGACGUGAUGCGUAGCCGAUUGAGGCGAAUUCAGUGAUCCUAUGCUGCCGAGAAAAGCCUCUAGCGAGCUUUCACACGGCCCGUACCCCAAACCGACACAGGUGGUCAGGUAGAGAAUACUAAGGCGAUCGAGAUAACUGUGGUUAAGGAACUCGGCAAAAUGCCCCCGUAACUUCGGGAGAAGGGGGGCCUCGUCUGGUGACGGAACUUGCUUCCUGAGCUGGGUGGGGCCGCAGAGACCAGAGAGAAGCGACUGUUUACUAAAAACACAGGUCCGUGCGAAGUCGUAAGACGAUGUAUACGGACUGACGCCUGCCCGGUGCUGGAAGGUUAAGAGGACCGGUUAGCCAGUAAUGGCGAAGCUGAGAAUUUAAGCCCCAGUAAACGG
RNAcentral lists this ribosomal RNA (708 nucleotides) under Rhodococcus (subgen. Prescottella) equi. RNAcentral's name for it is "Prescottella equi bacterial LSU rRNA". It matches the Rfam family "Bacterial large subunit ribosomal RNA", at positions 1338 to 1930 of the family's 2925-position model. Lineage: Bacteria; Bacillati; Actinomycetota; Actinomycetes; Mycobacteriales; Nocardiaceae. The record is from RNAcentral.